GACUAUCCGGAUAUUCUUUCCCUCACAUGAGGGAAAGCUGAAAGAUGGUUUCGGCUAUCACUUACAGAUGGGCCCGCGGCGCAUUAGCUAGAUUGGUGAGGUAACGGCUCACCAAGGCAACGAUGCGUAGCCGACCUGAGAGGGUGAUCGGCCACACUGGGACUGAGACACGGCCCAGACUCCUACGGGAGGCAGCAGUAGGGAAUCUUCCGCAAUGGACGAAAGUCUGACGGAGCACCCGCGUGAGUGAUGAAGGUUUUCGGAUCGUAAAACUCUGUUGUUAGGGAAGAACAAGUACCGGAGUAACUGCCGGUACCUUGACGGUACCUAACCAGAAGGCCACGGGCUAACUACGUGCCAGCAGCCGCGGUAAUACGUAGGUGGCAAGCGUUGUCCGGAAUUAUUGGGCGUAAAGCGCGCGCAGGCGGUUCCUUAAGUCUGAUGUGAAAGCCCACGGCUCAACCGUGGAGGGUCAUUGGAAACUGGGGAACUUGAGUGCAGAAGAGAAGAGUGGAAUUCCACGUGUAGCGGUGAAAUGCGUAGAGAUGUGGAGGAACACCAGUGGCGAAGGCGACUUUCUGGUCUGUAACUGACGCUGAUGUGCGAAAGCGUGGGGAUCAAACAGGAUUAGAUACCCUGGUAGUCCACGCCGUAAACGAUGAGUGCUAAGUGUUAGGGGGUUUCCGCCCCUUAGUGCUGCAGCUAACGCAUUAAGCACUCCGCCUGGGGAGUACGACCGCAAGGUUGAAACUCAAAGGAAUUGACGGGGACCCGCACAAGCGGUGGGGCAUGUGGUUUAAUUCGAAGCAACGCGAAGAACCUUACCAAAUCUUGACAUCCUUUGACUGCUCUAGAGAUAGAGUCUUCCCCUUCGGGGGACAAAGUGACAGGUGGUGCAUGGUUGUCGUCAGCUCGUGUCGUGAGAUGUUGGGUUAAGUCCCGCAACGAACGCAACCCUUAAGCUUAGUUGCCAUCAUUAAGUUGGGCACUCUAAGUUGACUGCCGGUGACAAACCGGAGGAAGGUGGGGAUGACGUCAAAUCAUCAUGCCCCUUAUGAUUUGGGCUACACACGUGCUACAAUGGACAA
RNAcentral lists this ribosomal RNA (1088 nucleotides) under uncultured bacterium. RNAcentral describes it as "bacterial SSU rRNA". It matches the Rfam family "Bacterial small subunit ribosomal RNA", at positions 164 to 1237 of the family's 1533-position model. The record is from RNAcentral.